Molecule: transfer RNA, 23 nt
Filed under: Aegilops juvenalis
Lineage: Eukaryota; Viridiplantae; Streptophyta; Magnoliopsida; Poales; Poaceae
Description: partial tRNA-Ser
Source: RNAcentral
GGAGAGAUGGCUGAGUGGACUAA